Molecule: ribosomal RNA, 400 nt
Filed under: uncultured bacterium
Lineage: Bacteria
Description: bacterial SSU rRNA
Rfam family: Bacterial small subunit ribosomal RNA
Source: RNAcentral
UGAGGAAUCUUCCACAAUGGGGGCAACCCUGAUGGAGCGACACCGCGUGAAGGAUGAAUGCCUAACGGUUGUAAACUUCUUUUCUGAGGGAGCAAAAUGAGAGUACCUUAGGAAUAAGGGACGGCUAAAUACGUGCCAGCAGCCGCGGUAAUACGUAUGUCCCGAGCAUUACCCGGAAUUACUGGGUGUAAAGGGUUCGUAGGUUGUUAAACAAGUUGGAUAUAAAAGACCGAAGCUUAACUUCGAGUAUGUGUUCAAAACUGUGUAACUGGAAUUAGGGAGAGGUAAGCGGAAUUCUGAGUGUAGGGGUGCAAUCCGUAGAUACUCAGAGGAACACCAAAAGCGAAGGCAGCUUACUGGAACUAUAUUGACACUGAAGAACGAAAGCAUGGGGAGCGAA